CAGGGCUAAAGUCAGUAAAUCUAGAAAUUCAGUAUCUUUUAAAUUCGAGAGAAAAGUCUUCACAGGAAAAGAAUUGCUUUUCCAUCCUGAAUCAGUAGAUAUAAACCAAACCUUUCAGCAAGAAGAGAAGCAACUGGAACCCCUAUGUAAAUGGAUAACAAGUUCCCUCCCAGGAAAGUUCCAAGUUUUUGUUCUUUCCGCUAUGGAUUAUCUCUCCUCCUACAUGUCUGUAAUGUAUUAAUAAUGUCACAACGCAUGUGUGUGAGCCUCACAAUGGUAGUCAUGGUGAACAGGACGGAUCCACACGGUUUACCCAAUACCUCCACAGAGGAGCUCCUGGAUAACAUAAAGAACCCCGUGUAUAAUUGGAGCCCUGAAAUCCAGGGGAUCAUCUUCAGUUCCAUCUUCUAUGGUUCAGUUAUCUUCCAAAUUCCUGCUGGAUACUUAUCUGGAAUAUACUCCGUAAAGAAAAUGGUUGGCUCUACAUUAUUUGUCAGCUCUCUAAUUAAUUUGUUCAUCCCACUGGCAGCUCAAGUUGGAGAAACUUUGGUCAUUGUGUGCCGAGUAGCCCAGGGAGUAGCCCAGGGGACAGUAGCAGCAGCUCAGCAAGUAAUAUGGAUCAAAUGGGCUCCUCCCUUGGAACGAGGCCGACUUACCUCUAUUAGUAUAUCAGGAUUUAUGCUGGGACCCUUCAUUACCCUCAUUGCGACUGGAUUCAUCUGUAAAUCCCUGGGCUGGCCCAUGGUCUUCUAUAUUUUGGGUGCUUGUGGCUGUACCCUAAGUCUUCUCUGGUUUGUUCUGUUUUAUGAUGAGCCAAAGGACCACCCAUGUAUGAGCAUCAGUGAGAAGGAAUACAUCACAUCCUUCCACGUCCAACAGGUCAGCUCAAGUGAAUACUCUCUGCCCAUCAAGGAUAUGCUUAAGUCUCUUCCACUCUGGGCCAUUUGCAUGUGUAUUUUUGCUUUAUUCUGGUCAAGUACCAUCAUACUUUUCUAUACACCAACAUUUAUCAACUCCAAGCUUCAUGUUAAUAUAAACGAGAAUGGGCUGCUUUCUGCCCUCCCGCAUUUGUUUGCCUGGAUCUUUGGUAUCCUAGCAGGUCAGAUGGCAGACUUCCUCCUAUCCAGGAAUAUUUUCAGCAUACUUAACAUCCGGAAGCUCUUCAUCAUGCUAGGACUUCUCCUGCCUGCCCUCUUCUGUGUAUGCCUACUGUACCUGAGUUCCAGCUUCUAUGGCACUAUUAUUUUCCUGAUACUUGCUUGUGCAACAGGAAGCUUUACUAUGGUUACAGUGAUUGUAAAUACCUUGGAGAUCGCUCCCAGAUAUUGUGGAUUUCUUAAUGGAUUUAUACUGGUAAUUGGAACGAUAGCAGGAAUAAUUUCUUCCACUCUGACUGGAAUAAUUCUUAAUCAGGAUCCAGAAUCUUCCUGGUUUAAAAUCUUCUUCCUGAUAGCAGGCAUUAAUGUGAUAGGCGUAAUUUUCUACCUUAUAUUCGCUAAAGCAGAAAUUCAGGACUGGGCUAAAGAAAAACAACACACACGCCUCUGAAGAAUUAUUCACCACAAAUUUGGCCAAAUAUAGGCCAUCCCAGAAAAGAAGAGAACAAGAGAUACCUUUCUUCCUUCCAGUGAACUGUGUGCACUUAAAGCAGUAACAUUUUGCAUAAAACAGAGUUCUAGGAGAGCCUAGGGCCAACCUCAAGGGAAGAGGAACCAGCACGUGAGCCGGGACUGAGAGACUGUCACCAGCUCAAGAAGAAGACAGCACGUGGAUUCCUCGGAGACCAGUUUCCCCAACACACACCCUGUGUACAUCUCUUUUGUAACACGUUUUGUUUGCAAAAUGUCUAAAUUUUAAAUGCAGGUUUAUUUGUCUUCCAUUCCACAUCAGUUGCCUUAUGAACGAUGGUUGAAUAAACCAAUAAACAAGCACAAGAAGACA
Equus quagga is the source of this 1941-nucleotide RNA transcript. It is a transcript of the gene named solute carrier family 17 member 1, with no coding region annotated. Lineage: Eukaryota; Metazoa; Chordata; Mammalia; Perissodactyla; Equidae. The transcript has 14 exons. The record is from RefSeq and is a predicted model, not a curated record.